This 274-nucleotide long non-coding RNA is filed under the name Lathyrus oleraceus (garden pea). RNAcentral describes it as "Pisum sativum (pea) long non-coding RNA (PSAT_LNC040338)". The record is from RNAcentral. Lineage: Eukaryota; Viridiplantae; Streptophyta; Magnoliopsida; Fabales; Fabaceae.
AAAAAUGAUAUAGUUUUUUGAAAAAGAGUAUUUCAAAAAAUCUCAAUAUAUGUCAUUCAACAAUCAAACCAUACUAGGGUCAUAACUUUGGUAAAAAUUUCACCUGAAGAAAAAAUAUAAAUUAGAAAACUUAUGGGACACAAACCUAACCUAGAAGCAAAAACUGGAAAAGGAAAAGAAAAAAGUAAUAGAAAAACAGGUUUUUCAUAUUCUAUAUUGUCGAUGAAAUGUACCGUUCCAUUUUUAUUAAAAGAACGUUAGGUAAAAAGUUCAA